GUGGGGAAUAUUGCACAAUGGAGGAAACUCUGAUGCAGCGACGCCGCGUGAGCGAUGAAGGUUUUCGAAUCGUAAAGCUCUGUCCUAUGGGAAGAUAAUGACGGUACCAUAGGAGGAAGCCCCGGCUAACUACGUGCCAGCAGCCGCGGUAAUACGUAGGGGGCUAGCGUUGUCCGGAAUUACUGGGCGUAAAGGGUUCGCAGGCGGAAAUGCAAGUCAGAUGUGAAAGGCAAAGGCUCAACCUUUGUAAGCAUCUGAAACUGUAUUUCUUGAGAUGUGGAGAGGCAAGUGGAAUUCCUAGUGUAGCGGUGAAAUGCGUAGAUAUUAGGAGGAAUACCAGUGGCGAAGGCGACUUGCUGGACACAAACUGACGCUGAGGAACGAAAGCGUGGGUAGCAAACAGGA
RNAcentral lists this ribosomal RNA (405 nucleotides) under uncultured bacterium. RNAcentral describes it as "bacterial SSU rRNA". It matches the Rfam family "Bacterial small subunit ribosomal RNA", at positions 354 to 777 of the family's 1533-position model. The record is from RNAcentral.